GACGAACGCUGGCGGCGUGCUUAACACAUGCAAGUCGAACGGACUUAGUUUAGAUGAAGUUUUCGGAUGGAAUCUUUUCUAAGUUAGUGGCGGACGGGUGAGUAACGCGUGGGUAACCUACCCCUAUUACCGGGACAACAGCUGGAAACGGCUGCUAAUACCGGAUAAACUCUCGAAUCGGCAUCGAUUUUAGAGCAAAGGAGGCCUCUAUUUAUAAGCUACCGAAUAGGGAUGGACCCGCGUCUGAUUAGCUAGUUGGUAGGGUAACGGCCUACCAAGGCGACGAUCAGUAGCCGGCCUGAGAGGGUGGCCGGCCACACUGGGACUGAGACACGGCCCAGACUCCUACGGGAGGCAGCAGUGGGGAAUCUUCCGCAAUGGGCGAAAGCCUGACGGAGCAACGCCGCGUGAAUGAAGAAGGCCUUCGGGUCGUAAAGUUCUGUCUUUUGGGAAGAAGGCUCUUACUAUGAAUAAUGGUAGGAGAUGACGGUACCAAAGGAGGAAGCUCCGGCUAACUACGUG
Molecule: ribosomal RNA, 522 nt
Filed under: uncultured organism
Description: bacterial SSU rRNA
Rfam family: Bacterial small subunit ribosomal RNA
Source: RNAcentral